This 72-nucleotide transfer RNA is filed under the name Camelus bactrianus (Bactrian camel). It matches the Rfam family "tRNA". From Rfam's summary of the family: Transfer RNA (tRNA) molecules are approximately 80 nucleotides in length. The record is from Rfam by way of RNAcentral. Lineage: Eukaryota; Metazoa; Chordata; Mammalia; Artiodactyla; Camelidae. RNAcentral also lists the same sequence under 2 other names.
GAGGGUAUAGCUCAGUGGUAGAGUGCAUGCUUAGCAUACACAAGGCCCUGGGUUCAAUCUCCAGUACCUCCA